AACAGUUGGAAACGACUGCUAAUACCGCAUAAUGUCUUCGGACCAAACGGGGCUUCGGCUCCGGCGCAAAGAGAGGCCCAAGUGAGAUUAGCUAGUUGGUAAGGUAACGGCUUACCAAGGCGACGAUCUCUAGCUGUUCUGAGAGGAAGAUCAGCCACACUGGGACUGAGACACGGCCCAGACUCCUACGGGAGGCAGCAGUGGGGAAUAUUGCACAAUGGGGGAAACCCUGAUGCAGCCAUGCCGCGUGUGUGAAGAAGGCCUUCGGGUUGUAAAGCACUUUCAGUUGUGAGGAAAAGUUAGUAGUUAAUACCUGCUAGCCGUGACGUUAACAACAGAAGAAGCACCGGCUAACUCCGUGCCAGCAGCCGCGGUAAUACGGAGGGUGCGAGCGUUAAUCGGAAUUACUGGGCGUAAAGCGCACGCAGGCGGUUUGUUAAGCUAGAUGUGAAAGCCCCGGGCUCAACCUGGGAUGGUCAUUUAGAACUGGCAGACUAGAGUCUUGGAGAGGGGAGUGGAAUUCCAGGUGUAGCGGUGAAAUGCGUAGAUAUCUGGAGGAACAUCAGUGGCGAAGGCGACUCCCUGGCCAAAGACUGACGCUCAUGUGCGAAAGUGUGGGUAGCGAACAGGAUUAGAUACCCUGGUAGUCCACACCGUAAACGCUGUCUACUAGCUGUGUGUGUCUUUAAGACGUGCGUAGCGAAGCUAACGCGCUAAGUAGACCGC
This 726-nucleotide ribosomal RNA is filed under the name uncultured Alteromonas sp. RNAcentral's name for it is "bacterial SSU rRNA". It matches the Rfam family "Bacterial small subunit ribosomal RNA", at positions 145 to 872 of the family's 1533-position model. The record is from RNAcentral. Lineage: Bacteria; Pseudomonadati; Pseudomonadota; Gammaproteobacteria; Alteromonadales; Alteromonadaceae.